CAGCUCAGUGACAGAGCAUCUGCCUUGCAUGCUUCAGAAGGAACCAGGUUCAACCCCUGCAGGGGAAAGC
Podarcis lilfordi (Lilford's wall lizard) is the source of this 70-nucleotide non-coding RNA. NCBI's taxonomy places the organism in Eukaryota, Metazoa, Chordata, Lepidosauria, Squamata, Lacertidae. The record is from the annotation of a GenBank genome assembly.